Molecule: long non-coding RNA, 1451 nt
Filed under: Equus asinus (donkey)
Lineage: Eukaryota; Metazoa; Chordata; Mammalia; Perissodactyla; Equidae
Description: lncRNA (ENSEASG00005036644.1)
Source: RNAcentral
GCCAGAUGAGCGCUCUCUGUUAUUAUUAUUGACUGUUCCAUACAAAGGAAACGUGAUCAAUGCCAGAAGUGGACACAUUAUGGGUUGCCCUGAACGAACGCAAGACAGCGGCCCAUCUGUAACCUACACGGUGGUCCUCUGAGGCCCGCUGGAGGAGAAACAGGUUCAGAGAGGGUAAGAAACCAGAUCAAGGCCACACAGCCAAGAAUCCAAACCCAGCUGUCUGUCCGCAGAGUCCAGGCUUUAUGGACUAUGGAGAGCAUGCAAUGGGACAAUGGACAUGGAAGCUCUCUGGGGACAAGGACAAAGCAGCAUACAGAUGUGAGAAGCCGGACCAGGGAAAAUGCACCCACCUUCCUCAACCAGCAAAUAUGCUGCACCCCUGUGUUCAGCUGGGCUCAUGACACAGGGUCCUUUGCCCGCCAAUUAUUUGGGACUUAAUCCCCUAUGGGUCACAGUCUUUCCUCUCCUAACAUAAGGCUGGGAAGGUGCCAGACAACUCACAAAUGUUUGCUGAAUGAAUAAAGGGGCCCGAAAAAGUUUGCUUCCUUGUGAGACAAAUGGCUUCUCCUACAGGCCCCCGCAGCCACUCCACACCCAAUGUAACCCUAGACACGGCACCUGGGGUGAUGAAAACCCCGCGACCUCGACACGAGCCUGGAUUUCUGGGCCCCUCAUCUCAACCUUUAGUGCAUGGUUUUAAUUAUACCCAAGCAACUGGAAAAGGAACUGCAGGAAAGCCCCUAUUCGCCCUGGAACAAUCUGGAUGGUGGAAAACUGACCUGCCCUGUCCCAGGGGGCCGGAUGCCCUCUCCACAUCCAGCACGUGGGCUCCAAGACCCCCAUUCCCCACCCAACCUUCCAGCCCGGAGAGGCCCCCUCUCCACCAAGCACCACAGCGUUUUCUAUCUCACCCACUCAUUUUAAUGCUUCCCCAGCUCUCCCAACCGGAUCCUAACCCCCUCCACCUCUAACCUGAGCCCUGCACCUCGGGCCCGCCCAGCAACCCCGCUCUCCUACCCAAAGGGACCCUGAUCAAUGGCAGGCCUGACUGCCAUCUCUCUGCAGAGAGGGGGUUUUCCUUUUCUCUUUCUUUCUUUCUUUUUUCUAAUAAGUGGUUUGUGCCUCUGAAAGUCAAAACAACACCCAUGGCGGCUCCUUUCUUGCCCUGGCGGCUGCAAAGCUUAAAACUCCGCCAACCCAACUUCUGUUUCUCGUUCGGGGGGCAUGCCGGCGCCGCGGGUCUGCCGCCAAGCAGCCCCCUUACGAUCCGUGCACUCUUCUGGGUGUAGGCGACACCUCAAGAACAAGACGGGACAAAACACGAAAGAGCCUUGCCCCAUCCCAAAACAGCCCUGGGCUCCUCCAAGUUUCCAUCAAAAGACCCGUCCAGGAUCUGUUUAGCCGCCAGGCAGGGGAAGGAAAGGGGAAUCAGAAAGCACGGACGCCGC